This 484-nucleotide ribosomal RNA is filed under the name uncultured bacterium. Its description in RNAcentral is "partial 16S ribosomal RNA". It matches the Rfam family "Bacterial small subunit ribosomal RNA", at positions 30 to 507 of the family's 1533-position model. The record is from RNAcentral.
AUUGAACGCUGGCGGCAGGCCUAACACAUGCAAGUCGAGCGGAUGAAGGGAGCUUGCUCCUGGAUUCAGCGGCGGACGGGUGAGUAAUGCCUAGGAAUCUGCCUGGUAGUGGGGGAUAACUUCCGGAAACGGGCGCUAAUACCGCAUACGUCCUGAGGGAGAAAGUGGGGGAUCUUCGGACCUCACGCUAUCAGAUGUGCCUAGGUCGGAUUAGCUAGUUGGUGGGGUAAAGGCCUACCAAGGCGACGAUCCGUAACUGGUCUGAGAGGAUGAUCAGUCACACUGGAACUGAGACACGGUCCAGACUCCUACGGGAGGCAGCAGUGGGGAAUAUUGGACAAUGGGCGAAAGCCUGAUCAAGCCAUGCCGCGUGUGUGAAGAAGGUCUUCGGAUUGUAAAGAACUUUAAGUGGGGAGGAAGGGCAGUAAGUUAAUACCUUGCUGUUUUGACGUUACCAACAUAAUAAGCACCGGCUAACUUCGUG